UGCUUCUUGAUGCAGAGGAGAAGUCUGCCUUGAAUAAUCAGGUCAAGCUCUGGCUCGGAAAGCUAAAAGAAGUUGUUUAUGAUGCUGAUGACUUGCUGGAUGACUUCUCCACCGAAGCUUUGCGUCGCCAAGUAAUGGGAGGAAAUAAAGUUUCGAAGGAGGUAUGCCUUUUCUUUUCACCAUCCAAUCGAAUUGUUUAUGGUUAUAAGAUGGGUCAUAGGAUUAAGGCAAUUAGGGAGAGGCUGGAUGCCAUUGCCAAAGAUAGGCAAGACUACCACCUUGAUCUUGUGGAGCGCUUCAGAGAGGCGCCAUUUUUAAGUAGGGGAAGGGACCAAACUAUCUCAUAUGUAGGUGAGGAAGAAGUCAUUGGGAGGGAUGAUGAUAAGAAGAAAAUUCUAGAACUUCUAUUUGACUCCAACACUGAAGAUAAUGUUUCAGUGAUUCCAAUUGUUGGAAUUGGAGGAUUAGGGAAAACCAAAUUGGCUCAAUUGGUUUAUAGUAAUAAGAAUGUUACAGAAAAAUUUGAGUUGAAAAUGUGGGUUUGUGUAUCUGAUGUCUUUGAUAUAAAAGUAAUUGUGGAAAAGGUUAUAAAAUCUUUGACUCGUAAGGAACCAGGAAACCUUGAGUUGGAUCAAUUGCAAAGUGAUCUAAGAGAAAGAAUUGAAGGAAAGAAAUAUUUGUUAGUGUUGGAUGAUGUUUGGAAUGAAGAUCUUCAAAAAUGGACUGAUUUAAAGGCAUUAUUGACGUGUGGUGCAAGAGGAAGUAGGAUCUUAGUGACCACUCGUUCCGAAAUGGUUGCAGCAAUAACUAGUGGCAAAAAGACACAUUAUUCUCUAAAGGGCUUAGAUCUAGAUAAGUCUUGGUCUUUGUUUAAGAAAAUAGUGUUCGAGGGGAAAGAGCCAGAGAGUCCAAAAGUGAAAGAUAUUGGAGAGCAGAUUAUAAAGAAAUGUGGUGGAGUUCCCCUUGCAAUAAAGAC
RNAcentral lists this unclassified non-coding RNA (976 nucleotides) under Hevea brasiliensis (rubber tree). The record is from RNAcentral. Lineage: Eukaryota; Viridiplantae; Streptophyta; Magnoliopsida; Malpighiales; Euphorbiaceae.